AGAGUUUGAUCCUGGCUCAGAUUGAACGCUGGCGGAAUGCUUUACACAUGCAAGUCGAGCGGCAGCGCGGGGCAACCUGGCGGCGAGCGGCGAACGGGUGAGUAAUGCAUCGGAACAUGUCCAUGUCGUGGGGGAUAGCCCGGCGAAAGCCGGAUUAAUACCGCAUAAGCCCGAGAGGGGAAAGCAGGGGACCGCAAGGCCUUGCGCGAUUGGGUUGGCCGAUGUCCGAUUAGCUUGUUGGUGAGGUAAAGGCUUACCAAGGCGAUGAUCGGUAGCUGGUCUGAGAGGAUGAUCAGCCACACUGGGACUGAGACACGGCCCAGACUCCUACGGGAGGCAGCAGUGGGGAAUUUUGGACAAUGGGGGCAACCCUGAUCCAGCCAUUCCGCGUGAGUGAAGAAGGCCUUCGGGUUAUAAAGCUCUUUUGUCCGGAGCGAAACGGUGGCGGUGAAUAUCCGCCACUACUGACGGUACCGAAGA
Molecule: ribosomal RNA, 480 nt
Filed under: uncultured bacterium
Lineage: Bacteria
Description: bacterial SSU rRNA
Rfam family: Bacterial small subunit ribosomal RNA
Source: RNAcentral